GAUGAAGAACGUAGCGAAAUGCGAUAAGUAAUGUGAAUUGCAGAAUUCAGUGAAUCAUCGAAUCUUUGAACGCAUCUUGCGCUCCUUGGUAUUCUGAGGAGCAUGCCUGUUUGAGUGUCAUUAACUUCUCAACUACACUGACUUUGAAUUGGUGUGGCUUGGAUUUGGGGGGAAAAUUGUUGUGGGCUUUUUGUAUAGUCUGCUCCCCUGAAAUUGAUUAGCGGUACCUUUGUGGAACUGUCUACAGGUGUGAUAAUUAUCUACAUCUUAGACAUCUGCUGGAAUGCUGCUUUCUAAACCUUACUUGUAUUGACAAUCUUGACCUCAAAUCAGGUAGGACUACCCGCUGAACUUAAGCAUAUCAAUAAGCGGAGGA
This 376-nucleotide unclassified non-coding RNA is filed under the name soil metagenome. RNAcentral describes it as "partial contains 5.8S ribosomal RNA, internal transcribed spacer 2, and large subunit ribosomal RNA". The stretch from base 1 to 120 matches the Rfam family "5.8S ribosomal RNA", at positions 35 to 154 of the family's 154-position model. The record is from RNAcentral.